GGCAAUGUAUGAUAUUUUACUACCCAUGGAUGGACAUAUGACAGUUUAACUGGCCGUUUGACUUCCUCAACAAAGCCCACUGAUCUCACAAUGUCUAGCGACGUUGAUUCACAUUGUGUUUCCCAAAAUUAUAUCUUUACAUUUCCUAACUUACAGGCUACAUAAAUUACUUGAGCUCAGCCUAUAUCUAUAUAUAUGUAUGUGUUUGUGUGUGGAGUGGGGCAUAUUAGGUGGACAUCCUGUCUUCAAAGACGCAGCCGGAACGAUAGAAUCAUCCGUGAUUCUUCAGGGAGAUGCAUCGCCCUCUGGAUUUUCAUAUUGUGUUGUUGGAUAUACCAUUUCCACCAGUUUAAACCUAGUGGCUUGACAUAGGGGUUGAGGGUUGCACGAGAUACAGAGUUUCUCGUCAAAUAACAAGUACAAGUGGGUCUUUUGCCUGCAUUUUUCACCAUACAAAAGGAUUGCUGGAUAUUGUUCUUCCGCUUAAUGGAUGUUUCGAUAUCGCCUCCCAGGUAAACGGUAACAAAUGUUGUUUAAAAACUUCCCCCUCGUUUCCAUGUACCACUGUGCGACAUUUGUUAAAUGGGAGAGCCUGGUGGGUUACAUCUUCUCUAGAAUCAUGCGUGGCAUAAUAAUCUUGCUGUUGCCAAUUCUGCUUUGUAUUUUGUUAUUCCAUCUUGAGACAUUUGUGAAAAGCCUCACGGGAUUAUCCUUAUCGGGA
RNAcentral lists this small RNA (721 nucleotides) under Histoplasma ohiense. RNAcentral describes it as "hypothetical lncRNA". Lineage: Eukaryota; Fungi; Ascomycota; Eurotiomycetes; Onygenales; Ajellomycetaceae. The record is from RNAcentral.